Molecule: ribosomal RNA, 120 nt
Filed under: uncultured bacterium
Lineage: Bacteria
Description: partial 16S ribosomal RNA
Rfam family: Bacterial small subunit ribosomal RNA
Source: RNAcentral
GAUGAACGCUAGCGGCAGGCCUAACACAUGCAAGUCGAGGGGCAUCGGGGUGCUUGCACCGCCGGCGACCGGCGCACGGGUGAGCAACGCGUACAGAACCUGCCCGUUACAGGGGGACAG